CUGGGACUGAGACACGGCCCAGACUCCUACGGGAGGCAGCAGUGGGGAAUAUUGCACAAUGGGCGCAAGCCUGAUGCAGCAACGCCGCGUGAGGGAUGACGGCCUUCGGGUUGUAAACCUCUUUUAGCAGGGAAGAAGCGAAAGUGACGGUACCUGCAGAAAAAGCGCCGGCUAACUACGUGCCAGCAGCCGCGGUAAUACGUAGGGCGCAAGCGUUAUCCGGAAUUAUUGGGCGUAAAGAGCUCGUAGGCGGUUUGUCGCGUCUGCUGUGAAAUCCCGAGGCUCAACCUCGGGCCUGCAGUGGGUACGGGCAGACUAGAGUGCGGUAGGGGAGAUUGGAAUUCCUGGUGUAGCGGUGGAAUGCGCAGAUAUCAGGAGGAACACCGAUGGCGAAGGCAGAUCUCUGGGCCGUAACUGACGCUGAGGAGCGAAAGGGUGGGGAGCAAACAGGCUUAGAUACCCUGGUAGUCCACCCCGUAAACGUUGGGAACUAGUUGUGGGGUCCAUUCCACGGAUUCCGUGACGCAGCUAACGCAUUAAGUUCCCCGCCUGGGGAGUACGGCCGCAAGGCUAAAACUCAAAGGAAUUGACGGGGACCCGCACAAGCGGCGGAGCAUGCGGAUUAAUUCGAUGCAACGCGAAGAACCUUACCAAGGCUUGACAUAUACGAGAACGGGCCAGAAAUGGUCAACUCUUUGGACACUCGUAAACAGGUGGUGCAUGGUUGUCGUCAGCUCGUGUCGUGAGAUGUUGGGUUAAGUCCCGCAACGAGCGCAACCCUCGUUCUAUGUUGCCAGCACGUAAUGGUGGGAACUCAUGGGAUACUGCCGGGGUCAACUCGGAGGAAGGUGGGGAUGACGUCAAAUCAUCAUGCCCCUUAUGUCUUGGGCUUCACGCAUGCUACAAUGGCCGGUACAAAGGGCUGCAAUACCGCGAGGUGGAGCGAAUCCCAAAAAGCCGGUCCCAGUUCGGAUUGAGGUCUGCAACUCGACCUCAUGAAGUCGGAGUCGCUAGUAAUCGCAGAUCAGCAACGCUGCGGUGAAUACG
Molecule: ribosomal RNA, 1047 nt
Filed under: Microbacterium sp. BE384
Lineage: Bacteria; Bacillati; Actinomycetota; Actinomycetes; Micrococcales; Microbacteriaceae
Description: bacterial SSU rRNA
Rfam family: Bacterial small subunit ribosomal RNA
Source: RNAcentral